CCUCUUGUAUUAUUAACAGCGUGAUUAUCUAGAGAGGAAGAUCUUCUCAUUACUACUCCUCCAACAUGUUGUCUUCAGUUUCACUGCUUCUUCUGGCUCUCGUCCCCUAUGUGUUCUGUGCUACUGAGCUCAUCCAGCCAGACUCAGUGCUUCUAAAGCCAGGAGAGACUUUAUCCAUCACCUGUAGAGUGUCUGGAGCUUCUAUCACUGAUAGCAGCCACUGGGGAACAGCUUGGAUUCGACAACCUGCCGGAAAAGCUCUGGAAUGGAUCAACACCAUUGAUUAUGAUGGAGAUAUUUAUAAGAAAGAUUCACUUAAAGGCAAGUUUGUCAUCUCUCGAGACACUUCCAGUAACAGUGUGACCUUACAGGGGAAGAACAUGCAGGCUGAAGACACAGCUGUGUAUUACUGCGCUCGUGACCCCAGAGUGAAACAUGUCGACAACAUCCCUGUACAAAAACAUCCUGUACAGAAAACUGUUUAGCAGCAAAAGCAAAAAUUCAACAUUUUAUAAGUGUGGUGUGUUGUUUCAUGUUCCCUUAUGAACAGUGAACAAAGUCCUGAGUGAACAGUGCUCAUCAUGUUUAUAAACUUUUUUAUUUUACAGAAAUAUCUAGUUAAAAUCUGUGAACUCUAUCCAAAAGUAAAUGUGCUUCAUAAUUGUUACAUGUAGAUUACAGCACAGUGAAACUCUUUCUCUAGUAUUAGGAACCUGGUGUCAGGGCACAGGGUCAGCCAUGAUACAGUGCUCCUGGAGCAAAUAGAGUUAAAGGGCUUGAAGCCAGAUUCAAAAGAGAACCCAUCAUCACUUAGGUCUCACGAAUGUCCACUUAUCAUAGUUCCAACUGUUCACUGUUGAACAAUUUAAAUGCAAAAACUGUUCAUGGCACUGUUCAACUCUAGCCCUGAACUAUUGUAGCAGACUGUAAAUACAGUCCAGAUGUUCAUGGUUCUUGAUUUUU
Molecule: non-coding RNA, 963 nt
Organism: Silurus meridionalis
Lineage: Eukaryota; Metazoa; Chordata; Actinopteri; Siluriformes; Siluridae
Source: the annotation of a RefSeq genome assembly